ACUUGCAUCAACACCAGAGUUAUAACGUCUGAGUUUCUUUAGAUUUUUCGCACAAUUGGGAUUUCAUAAAAACAUCCAAUUGAUCGUGGAAACCAAGGAAUUGAUUUCCAGCUUAAUUAGGAAAUUGUGUUGUAGUAUGGAAACGGUGUUACAAAGGAAACUGGGUUGUUCAUAAAAAUUUAAGUCGUAUUACGGUCAAUAUUCCCGGUAAAUCUUUAAUUGUAAGAUGAAAUUAAUUUUUUACACAAUUUGGGUUGUCAUUGAGCCGGGAAGCCAUGGAUGAAAGUGAGUUUUCUGCCAUCGAUUUUGGAUGAUUAACAGAGCUGAAUGAAAAGAUUAGCAGGCAUAUGCGAGCCUGUGGAAGAUCAGAAAUGAUGGGUUGGCCUUGAAUUAGAGUUCGAUAGGUUUUUGGUGAAGUAUUGCAAUGAGAACAAACCAAGUUUGCUGCCAUCAAUGUGGGGGUGAAUGAAUGAGAUUUAUGGUUGUUCUUUGAGAAUUUGUUAGUGUCUAAAAUAUGGAUUGUGUACGAAUUCUUCUUUUCGGGGAAGUAGAACAAAUAAGUAACAGGAAGAGUACCUAGAGUUUCCUUCCAAUCAACAACUCGAAUUGCAUAUAACUGUUUGUUUAAAUGCCUGAACGAUAGCUGCAGCUUUUGUUUUUCACUGAACCGAGCUGUUACCGGCAGUUAAGAGUGGUGUUGUUGCAAGCAAAUGAGACAUGAUUCCAGCUUAUUUUUAACUCUUCAAGGGAGGAAUUGUAGGGAUAUGAGAAGGUGGAGAACAUUGAGUUGGUAUGAUACACACUCUAGCAAUACUGCUUGAGUCCCCAGGAAUUGUUCCCAUCACUGCACCACUGGGAGUGAAAAGCUCACCUCUUAAAGACCAAAGUUGAAAUAUGGAACACUACUACUCGAAUUGUGAUGCUUAAAUCAAUGGUCAAGUCUAUCAGCGGGUCGUGUUCGUUUCUCCAUGUCGUAACCAACACUCUGCUUCCUCACUGGUGCUAAUUCAAUCUUCCUUCACAGUUGAAGGUCGAUUUACACACGCCUUCUUCUGCAGAAGACAUGGACCCUGAAUUUGAAGCUGCUCUUCCCCCUAAUAUCUAACCAGAAGUAUCAACACAACAGCGGGCACAAAGGGUUAUACAAUCUCGUCAAGAUGAAGGUCAAGAGGCUGACAUGGAUAAUAUUUCAAUUAUAGCUGAGUACAUUCCAUGUUGAUCCACUUGAAGAGACGGUACUAUCCGCCCUACCUUCUCUGUUACUUUCUGAAGCCUGGAUGCUAAGAGAUAGAUAAAUGAGUCACUAUCAGGCAGGUAACCUUUUUGGAAGCACCAAUAAGCUUACUAUUGGCAGGAGGAACAAUUUAGGAGUUGAUAGGCAUGCCGUGAUGGAUUGGGUGUUCGAGUUUUAACCGGAUGACGGGCAGCUUCAGGCUUUGUAUACCAUCUAAAGGUGAGGGAUAUUGGAAGUGCACCUUUUCUGGAUGCAGAUUCUCUAAAAGCUUUGGUUCGGUUCCCAAGGCCAUUUCAGGCUACAAGUGGGUCAAAGAAAAGUCUCUCUCUCACUCUCGACGUUAAUUUUUUUUUAUGUAAUGGAAGUGCUGGUGUUGUCGGAAAUGGUGGUUGCGCUCUUAAGUUUAGAACUACCAUUAUUUAUGAACUAUGAACUAUGCGACAUGGAUGCGCUCUUUAUUAAUGCGUCCUGAGAUAUGGAUAGGCUUCCUACUGUUGUUCUUAAGCA
This is a long non-coding RNA of Papaver somniferum (opium poppy), 1741 nucleotides long. RefSeq lists it as uncharacterized. NCBI's taxonomy places the organism in Eukaryota, Viridiplantae, Streptophyta, Magnoliopsida, Ranunculales, Papaveraceae. The record is from RefSeq and is a predicted model, not a curated record. The transcript has 7 exons.